UACGUAGGUGACAAGCGUUGUCCGGAUUUACUGGGCGUAAAGAGCGCGCAGGCGGUCGUUCAAGUCGAGUGUGAAAGCCCCCGGCUCAACUGGGGAGGGUCAUUCGAUACUGAUCGACUCGAAGGCAGGAGAGGGUAGUGGAAUUCCCGGUGUAGUGGUGAAAUGCGUAGAUAUCAGGAGGAACACCGGUGGCGAAGGCGGGUCUCUGGGCCGUAACUGACGCUGAGGAGCGAAAGCAUGGGGAGCGAACAGG
RNAcentral lists this ribosomal RNA (253 nucleotides) under uncultured bacterium. RNAcentral's name for it is "partial 16S ribosomal RNA". It matches the Rfam family "Bacterial small subunit ribosomal RNA", at positions 524 to 776 of the family's 1533-position model. The record is from RNAcentral.